Molecule: ribosomal RNA, 1377 nt
Filed under: uncultured bacterium
Lineage: Bacteria
Description: bacterial SSU rRNA
Rfam family: Bacterial small subunit ribosomal RNA
Source: RNAcentral
GAGUUUGAUCCUGGCUCAGGACGAGCGCUGGCGGCGUGCUUAACACAUGCAAGUCGAACGGAAAGGCCCCGCUCGCGGGGUACUCGAGUGGCGAACGGGUGAGUAACACGUGGGUGAUCUGCCCUGCACUUCGGGAUAAGCCUGGGAAACUGGGUCUAAUACCGGAUAUGACCUCCCUUUAGUGUGGGGGGUGGAAAGAUUUAUCGGUGCAGGAUGAGCCCGCGGCCUAUCAGCUUGUUGGUGGGGUAAUGGCCUACCAAGGCGUCGACGGGUAGCCGGCCUGAGAGGGUGGACGGCCACAUUGGGACUGAGAUACGGCCCAGACUCCUACGGGAGGCAGCAGUGGGGAAUAUUGCACAAUGGGCGGAAGCCUGAUGCAGCGACGCCGCGUGGGGGAUGACGGCCUUCGGGUUGUAAACCUCUUUCGACAGGGACGAAGUGAAAAUGACGGUACCUGUAUAAGAAGCACCGGCUAACUACGUGCCAGCAGCCGCGGUAAUACGUAGGGUGCGAGCGUUGUCCGGAAUUACUGGGCGUAAAGAGCUCGUAGGUGGUUUGUCACGUCGUCUGUGAAAUUCCGGGGCUUAACCUCGGGCGUGCAGGCGAUACGGGCAAUACUUGAGUGCUGUAGGGGAGACUGGAAUUCCUGGUGUAGCGGUGAAAUGCGCAGAUAUCAGGAGGAACACCAAUGGCCAAGGCAGGUCUCUGGGGCAGUUACUGACGCUGAGGAGCGAAAGCAUGGGUAGCGAACAGGAUUAGAUACCCUGGUAGUCCAUGCCGUAAACGGUGGGCGCUAGGUGUAGGGGACUUCCACGUUCUCUGUGCCGUAGCUAACGCAUUAAGCGCCCCGCCUGGGGAGUACGGCCGCAAGGCUAAAACUCAAAGGAAUUGACGGGGGCCCGCGCAAGCGGCGGAGCAUGUGGAUUAAUUCGAUGCAACGCGAAGAACCUUACCUGGGCUUGACAUACACCGGACCGGCGUAGAGAUACGUCUUCCCUUGUGGCCGGUGUACAGGUGGUGCAUGGUUGUCGUCAGCUCGUGUCGUGAGAUGUUGGGUUAAGUCCCGCAACGAGCGCAACCCUUGUCUUAUGUUGCCAGCACGUGAUGGUGGGGACUCAUGAGAGACUGCCGGGGUCAACUCGGAGGAAGGUGGGGAUGACGUCAAAUCAUCAUGCCCCUUAUGUCCAGGGCUUCACACAUGCUACAAUGGUCGGUACAGCAGGUCGCGAACUCGUGAGAGUAAGCCAAUCCUUCACAGCCGGCCUCAGUUCGGAUUGGGGUCUGCAACUCGACCCCAUGAAGUCGGAGUCGCUAGUAAUCGCAGAUCAGCAACGCUGCGGUGAAUACGUUCCGCGGGCCUUGUACACACCGCCCGUC